GUGAAUCAUCGAAUUUUUGAACGCAUAUUGCACUCUCUUCGGCUAGUAAGCGUGUUUGAGGAUCAGCCUCAAAAAAAUCCACUUAGUCUCUGUUUCGCGGUGACAUUUGUCCGAAAUUGGGUCAUCUUGAUCCUUUCGGUUUUAGGCGGCUUAAAAUUUUCUUUGCGAUUCCACGAACUUUUCUAAGAUUUACUUCUUAUACUUUUUAGGUAUCGAUCUUUAUUAUACGUGGCCUUUGCAUCGUGUCU
Molecule: unclassified non-coding RNA, 248 nt
Filed under: Glomus sp.
Lineage: Eukaryota; Fungi; Glomeromycota; Glomeromycetes; Glomerales; Glomeraceae
Description: partial internal transcribed spacer 2
Source: RNAcentral